Molecule: unclassified non-coding RNA, 553 nt
Filed under: Hevea brasiliensis (rubber tree)
Lineage: Eukaryota; Viridiplantae; Streptophyta; Magnoliopsida; Malpighiales; Euphorbiaceae
Source: RNAcentral
GGACAAAACAAAAUUCACAUGUAAACGUUCAAAAUUCCCUUAAUUGGAAGCUUCUUUUAUCAUAUUCCUAAAGUCAAAUUUAGCCAUCUAAAACGGAAACAGAGCCAGCAAAAGAUGGUGAAAUGAAAAACCGAAAAUGAAAACAACAAACAGACUAAAUUUUCCUGUACGACGUGUGUUCCGAAAUCAAAGAUCCAAACACGAAUAAUCAGGCUCCAGAGCCAGAGCCAGAGCCAGAUCGGUAGCGGUAGAAUUUGCCGAGGACAUGGAGAGUAGUAACGAAUCCGAUGAAGCAUAGGCUCAUCACAAGGACGACAGUCGGGCUAAUUUUCAGACCUGGAGAAUCAUCGGUAUAGAAACGGAGCAUGUUGCUAGCGUUGCCGGAGCCUACUACAGGGUUACCACCACCACCGCCAGCGGUAGAGGAUGAAGCACCGAGCCUGCGUCGGCGCAUACCAGCUGUAGCGGCGGCGGAGCCACGGGGUGCGGCGGUACCCGGACGGGUUGUAGAGGAGGAUGUGGAUUGGGAAGAAGAGCCUCGUGCCAUUAUUGG